UACGGGGGGAGCAAGCGUUGUUCGGAUUUACUGGGCGUAAAGGGCGCGUAGGCGGCCACCGCAAGUCGGUUGUGAAAUCUCUGGGCUUAACCCAGAAAGGUCAACCGAUACUGCGGGGCUAGAGUGCAGAAGGGGCAACUGGAGUUCUCGGUGUAGCGGUGAAAUGCGUAGAUAUCGAGAGGAACACCUGCGGCGAAGGCGGGUUGCUGGGCUGACACUGACGCUGAAGCGCGAAAGCUAGGGGAGCGAACGGG
RNAcentral lists this ribosomal RNA (254 nucleotides) under uncultured bacterium. RNAcentral's name for it is "partial 16S ribosomal RNA". It matches the Rfam family "Bacterial small subunit ribosomal RNA", at positions 524 to 776 of the family's 1533-position model. The record is from RNAcentral.